RNAcentral lists this ribosomal RNA (468 nucleotides) under uncultured bacterium. RNAcentral describes it as "partial 16S ribosomal RNA". It matches the Rfam family "Bacterial small subunit ribosomal RNA", at positions 28 to 507 of the family's 1533-position model. The record is from RNAcentral.
GACGAACGCUGGCGGCGUGCUUAACACAUGCAAGUCGAACGGAAAGGCCCUGCUUUUGUGGGGUGCUCGAGUGGCGAACGGGUGAGUAACACGUGAGUAACCUGCCCUUGACUUUGGGAUAACUUCAGGAAACUGGGGCUAAUACCGGAUAGGAGCUCCUGCUGCGUGGUGGGCGUUGGAAAGUUUCGGCGGUGGGGGAUGGACUCGCGGCUUAUCAGCUUGUUGGUGGGGUAGUGGCUUACCAAGGGUUUGACGGGUAGCCGGCCUGAGAGGGUGCACGGGGACAUGGGGACUAAGAUACGGAGCAGAAUCCUACGGUAGGCAGCGGUGGGGAAUAUUGCGCAAUAGGCGGAAGCGUGUGGCAGCAACGCCGCGUGCGGAAAGACGGCUUUCGGGUUGUAAACCGCUUUCGCAUGUGACGAAGCGUGAGUGACGGUAAUGGAUAAAGAAGCACCGGCUAACUACGUG